This is a long non-coding RNA of Hibiscus syriacus, 156 nucleotides long. RefSeq lists it as uncharacterized. The transcript is spliced from 4 exons. NCBI's taxonomy places the organism in Eukaryota, Viridiplantae, Streptophyta, Magnoliopsida, Malvales, Malvaceae. The record is from RefSeq and is a predicted model, not a curated record.
UUAUUUGAGUCAGAUUUCUAUCUCGCAUCUUUUUCACUUGUAGUAUAAAAUAAAUGUUUGACAAUAUAUAUACAUACUGCGUUUCUUGCAUAUUCGACACGGUAUUGUCUUCCAUGUUCAGCCAUCAGUUGUUCCAUUUCUUCAUAAACAUCUAAG